GCCCGAGUAGCUCAGGGGAUAGAGCAACCGCCUCCUAAGCGGUUGGCCGCAGGUUCGAGUCCUGCCUCGGGCACCA
Molecule: transfer RNA, 76 nt
Filed under: Candidatus Dormiibacterota bacterium
Lineage: Bacteria; Bacillati; Candidatus Dormiibacterota
Also listed under: 2 other names
Description: candidate division AD3 bacterium tRNA-Arg
Rfam family: tRNA
About the family: Transfer RNA (tRNA) molecules are approximately 80 nucleotides in length. Their secondary structure includes four short double-helical elements and three loops (D, anti-codon, and T loops).
Source: RNAcentral